Molecule: ribosomal RNA, 253 nt
Filed under: uncultured bacterium
Lineage: Bacteria
Description: partial 16S ribosomal RNA
Rfam family: Bacterial small subunit ribosomal RNA
Source: RNAcentral
CGUAUGUCCGAGCGUUAUCCGGAUUUAUUGGGCGUAAAGCGAGCGCAGACGGUUGAUUAAGUCUGAUGUGAAAGCCCGGAGCUCAACUCCGGAAAGGCAUUGGAAACUGGUCGACUUGAGUGCAGUAGAGGUAAGUGGAACUCCAUGUGUAGCGGUGGAAUGCGUAGAUAUAUGGAAGAACACCAGCGGCGAAGGCGGCUUACUGGACUGUAACUGACGUUGAGGCUCGAAAGUGUGGGUAGCAAACAGGAUU